GACGAACGCUGGCGGCGUGCCUAAUACAUGCAAGUAGAACGCACAGUUUAUACCGUAGCUUGCUACACCAUAGACUGUGAGUUGCGAACGGGUGAGUAACGCGUAGGUAACCUGCCUGGUAGCGGGGGAUAACUAUUGGAAACGAUAGCUAAUACCGCAUAAUAUUGAUUAUUGCAUGAUAAUUGAUUGAAAGAUGCUAUUGCAUCACUACCAGAUGGACCUGCGUUGUAUUAGCUAGUAGGUGAGGUAACGGCUCACCUAGGCGACGAGACAUAGCCGACCUGGGAGGGUGAUCGGCCACACUGGGACUGAGACACGGCCCAGACUCCUACGGGAGGCAGCAGUAGGGAAUCUUCGGCAAUGGACGAAAGUCUGACCGAGCAACGCCGCGUGAGUGAAGAAGGUUUUCGGAUCGUAAAGCUCUGUUGUAAGAGAAGAACGGGUGUGAGAGUGGAAAGUUCACACUGGGACGGUAUCUUACCAGAAAGGGACGGCUAACUACGU
This 504-nucleotide ribosomal RNA is filed under the name uncultured bacterium. RNAcentral's name for it is "partial 16S ribosomal RNA". It matches the Rfam family "Bacterial small subunit ribosomal RNA", at positions 28 to 506 of the family's 1533-position model. The record is from RNAcentral.